This 681-nucleotide ribosomal RNA is filed under the name uncultured nitrite-oxidizing bacterium. Its description in RNAcentral is "bacterial SSU rRNA". It matches the Rfam family "Bacterial small subunit ribosomal RNA", at positions 21 to 696 of the family's 1533-position model. The record is from RNAcentral.
GGCUCAGAUCGAACGCUGGCGGCGCGCCUAAUACAUGCAAGUCGAGCGAGAAGACGUAGCAAUACGUUUGUAAAGCGGCGAACGGGUGAGGAAUACAUGGGUAACCUACCCUAGAGUGGGGAAUAACUAGCCGAAAGGUUAGCUAAUACCGCGUACGCUUCUUGGACUUCGGUUCAGGGAGGAAAGCGCUACCGAGGGUAGCGCGCUCUUGGAUGGGCUCAUGUCCUAUCAGCUUGUUGGUGAGGUAAUGGCUCACCAAGGCUUCGACGGGUAGCUGGUCUGAGAGGACGAUCAGCCACACUGGCACUGCGACACGGGCCAGACUCCUACGGGAGGCAGCAGUGAGGAAUAUUGCGCAAUGGGCGAAAGCCUGACGCAGCGACGCCGCGUGGGGGAUGAAGGUCUUCGGAUUGUAAACCCCUUUCGGGAGGGAAGAUGGGAUGGGUAACCAUUCGGACGGUACCUCCAGAAGCAGCCACGGCUAACUUCGUGCCAGCAGCCGCGGUAAUACGAAGGUGGCAAGCGUUGUUCGGAUUUACUGGGCGUACAGGGAGCGUAGGCGGUUGGGUAAGCCCUCCGUGAAAUCUCCAGGCUUAACCUGGAAAGUGCAGAGGGGACUGCUCAGCUAGAGGAUGGGAGAGGAGCGCGGAAUUCCCGGUGUAGCGGUGAAAUGCGUAGAGA